Molecule: ribosomal RNA, 253 nt
Filed under: uncultured bacterium
Lineage: Bacteria
Description: partial 16S ribosomal RNA
Rfam family: Bacterial small subunit ribosomal RNA
Source: RNAcentral
UACGGGGGGGGCAAGCGUUGUUCGGAAUUACUGGGCGUAAAGGGCUCGUAGGCGGCCAACUAAGUCAGAUGUGAAAUCCCUCGGCUUAACCGGGGAACUGCAUCUGAUACUGGAUGGCUUGAGAUUGGGAGAGGGAUGCGGAAUUCCAGGUGUAGCGGUGAAAUGCGUAGAUAUCUGGAGGAACACCGGUGGCGAGGGCGGCAUCCUGGACCAACACUGACGCUGAGGAGCGAAAGCCAGGGGAGCAAACGGG